CAGCUGGUUCUGGUGGGGCACUGCCCCUUACAUCGAGUUUUUGUUGGGAUACUUGUUGCGAGGCAAAGUUCUUAGUUCUCAAUCAUAACUGCCCCAGCGUCCAAUAAAAAAUCGAAAGCCUUUAUCAGUCAUGACUAUUUGACAGACAAACUAGAUCAGAGGAAGUAACAAAAACCUGUAUACGCACACAUUAAUGGCAGAGUUGAAUUACCACUCUGUAUUAAAUAUAAAACACUUAUCCGAAUGCCAGAAAAGCCAGCAACCUGAUAUUGGUAUGGCACUGCCGCUCACAUCAUUUUUAUAUUUAAUUAACCCAAAUUCUGCUAAAGAGGCUAUUUUGCAAUUUGUAGAUAUUGUGUAUUGGGGCAAGUUAGGUAGUGCCCCUCCAUAUUUGGCAAAAAGAGGGGGACAAACAUGAUGCUGUCCAUGAAUUCUGCGUAGCAACAAUAUGUGUAUUUGUUAACGUUAAAGUCUUGUGUGAAACACAUUUUGGAAAGACAUAAUACCACAAUACCUCUCUUUUUUUUAACUUGGGCUUUGGGGCAAACAUGAUUGUGCCCUAUAAAUUCUGCCUGGAAACACGUGACAACAAGUGACAACAAAAAACUAAGGGCAUUUGUUAAGCACUUGGGCUUGGGGCAAAAAUGAGUGUGCCCCAUCAAUACUACCUACAAACAGACAUUGCAUUUAUUAACAAUAUAGUCAAAUAACACCCUUAUAUGAAACAUCAAAUAUCAAAUGGAAAGGCAUCAAGUGGCAGUUUCGAGGCACUUUGACUCAGGGCCAACAUGAUUGUGCCCCAUGAAUUCCGUCUAGCCGUCGGUGAUGACAUCAUAGUUCAUAUCAAGCCAUUUCUCAUGCUUUAUAAAGAAGUACAUUAGUGGUCACUUUGUGUAUAUUACAUAAGGUGUUAGUGGAAACUACUUGCAAUGAAAGAUGACGAAGUGCAUAUGAGGAGGCGCAAUGAUAAGCCUUGUCUCUCAGAUUAGUUUGCCUGCAGGGUUUCUUUGACUUUCUUCUUCAUGGACUUUUUUUUUUUUGUAAGUCUUCCCAUCAGGAGUGUCCACAUGUGAUGAGUGAAGAAGCACAUUGGGUGGCAGGGGAGGACACAUAUAAAAAGUCAACGCAUCAGUCUGUAUUUGCUGUGUUGGGAUAUUUUGAAGGACACAUAUGGAGAAUCCAGGAUUGUUUUAAGUCUUAAAAAAAAAAAAAAAAAGGUAUAAAGAUGGCAACGGCAUCAGCGAGACGCUUGUCGGAACGUCGGCGGAGCUCACUUUUCCAGAGUUGCGACGAAGAAGACAGGGGGAAAAUGCCGAAGACAGACGACGACUCUUCCACUUUAACGGAUGUCGGCAGUGGCAGCGGAACAUUCCCAGAUCACAAAGAUGGAGAGGAGAAUGUUUGUCUCAAACAGACUGUCAAAGCCAGCGUGAUGAGCGCAGAGGAGCGCGAGCGUCUGCGCGCACUCUUCCACGUUUACGACACGGACCAGUCGGGCAGCAUCGAGCGCGACGAGUUCUUCACCAUCUGCACCGAGCUGAAGGUCAGCCCCAGCGAGGCCGAGCGCGUCUUCAACCGGCUGGACGUGGACAAGGACGGCACCAUCACGCUGCCGGAGUUCAUCCGCGGCUUCCACGAGCGGCACCGCAUGGACGCCCAGCGGGGGCCGAGGCAGGAGGAGGAGAAGGAGGAGGGGGAGGAGGGAGCCACCGGGAGCCACCGGGAGCCGCGCGCCGCCGCCGCCGCCUGGGAGGACUUCGCGGCCCGGCUGGGCGAGCAGAUCAAGUUUAUUCCCAAACACGAGCAAGUGUUGACGUUGUACCAGAACAUCAGCGUGAAUGAGCCCAGGCUUGUCCCUCAGCUGGAGAAAAUCCUGUUGAGUUUCACCAAGGAGAUCAAACAGCAGAAUGCCGAGAUGGAGAACCUGGCGCUGGCCAUCAGGCGAGCGCAGGAUCAAGCGUCCAUGCAGCUUAGCGAGAUGGAGGAGGAGAUGGACCAACGUAUCCAAACCACGGAGAGGAAAGCACGUGAGCAGGAGAAAAAGCGAGGGGAGGCGGAACUUGGCGAAGUGCGAAGAACCUAUGAGAUAGAAGUGUGUGAGCUCCAGUGUAAGAUCCAAAGGAUGCAAAUGAUUGAGGAGAAGUACAAGAACAUCACAGUGAAGGACGAGAGUCCGGCCCUGAAGAAGAAAAUCAACGAGCUGACAUUGGAGAAUCAGCGCUUUAAACAGGAGCUGCUCAAGUCCCAGACCAAAGUGGCGUGCCUGCAGAGUGACCUGGACUCACUCAAGACCGAGCUCACCGACCAGAGCAUCAACUCUGAAAGAGACGAGGAGCUGAUGAAGCAGUUUUCGGACGAACGAGACAUCCUGGAGAGCCAGAUUGAGAUCCUGCAGGAGGCGAACAGGAAGCUCCACGACAGCAACGACGGCCUGAGAGCUGCUUUAGAGAGGGCCACCAAGUCAAGUAGCAGCGGGUCUUCCGGCACCAAAGGGACUCCAAAGGGCAGAAACAGAAGCAAAAGCAUCGGCUACCCGUCGCCGUACACUCUGGACAGGUUGUGCCAGCGCCCCGACGACUACCCCGUUUUCGGCCGCCGGCCCAGCAGCGAAUCGCUGGCCCUGGCGCUGUGCGACCCGGGCCUGCAGCGGCGGAACAGCAGCGAGUGCGAGGAGGACAGCCUGCCCGAGAUCUACAUGGACAGCGGCCUGUCCACGCUGCGAGGCUCGCACGGCGGCUACGACUCGGAGCAGGAGGUCAAAGGCCUGGAAGAGGAGGAGGAGGAAAAGGUGGAGGCGGAGGAGAGGCUGACCGAGAAAAGGGAGGAGUUUGUCAGCAAAACCUUGUUUGAAGAGACCUCUGACGCUGAUCCGGCAGAGACGCAGGACGCAGAGUCAGCGUUUGGCUCGGACAGGAGCUCCGUUCUGGACCGGAAGCCGUCCGAGCCCGUUCGGCCGCCCGCGGCCGCGACCCCGCCCGCCCCAGUCGCCCCCCACGCCCGAAAAGCCGUCAGCGCCAUCAGUGUGCGGAGCGAGGACAAGGACAACGGCGACCUGGGCUACACGCCGUCCAAGAAGGCCUACAAGAUCGUCAUGGCCGGAGACGCCGCCGUGGGCAAGUCCAGCUUCCUGCUGCGCCUCUGCAAGAACGAGUUCCAACCCACCUCCAGCGCAACCGUGGCCGUGGAUUUCCAAAUGAAGACUUUCAUGGUGGACGGAGAGCCCACUGUGUUACAAAUUUGGGACACUGCCGGACAGGAGAGAUUCCGCAGCAUCGCCAAGUCUUACUUCCGGCGAGCGGACGGCGUGCUGCUGCUGUACGACGUGACGUGCGAGAGGAGCUUCCUAAACGUGAGGGAGUGGGUGGACAUGAUCGAGGACAUGUCUCAGGAGGACAUCCCCAUCAUGCUGGUUGGCAACAAAUGUGACCGGAGGCAAGGGGCACCCUACUGUGUGCCCACCAGCUACGGCGAGAAACUGGCUAUGACUUACAACACUUUGUUCUGUGAAACCAGCGCCAAAGAUGGCUCCAACAUCCUGGAAGCUGUGCUGCAUCUUGCUCGGCAAAGAGAGCCACAGUCGCUCAAUCUUAAGCAGGGUCGAAGAGCCACACACACAAAUACGACGUGAGAACACUCGCAAGGAGCUGCUGCAGGCCACAACUCACACCAAGACUCUCACAUGCAGACAAACUGGCCAGCUUCUGACUCACUAGGCCACGCCCCUCAUUUAAAUACACACAUCCAAGACGUGAAUACCGCAAUACGUAAAGGAGGUGACCAAACACUCAAAGCUCGACGAGCAAAGUCACUACCAGGCGCUGCCCAACUUAGACGCGCCGAGAAAAAAGCCCAACUUCUCCUGCUGUAACUGAACGACCCAUUUAAAAAAUUAUUCUUCUUAUUAUUUUUUUUAAUCGAGAUAAACAAAAUGCAGCAAAAGGAACAAAACAAACUUUGUGGCUGUGAAGACAUCUGAAGUGACAGUGGAAGUCCAGCAGAGCACAACUGCAACUUGUGUCAUUUAUCGGAAAAUGACAGCGCCUACUGAACUUUUGGAACUUUUGUGUUCAUCUCAUGUUGCUAUUAGCUCAUUCGCCAUCAUUUUCCGCACUUUGCAGAUCCGACAGAUGAGAUGUGAACGCUUUAAGACAGAUGUGAAAUGUUUUUUUUAAGGUGAACUUAGUAUGUGGUUUUUUUUUGUGGAAGGAUAAGGCUGCAUUUGAUUAUUUUAUGGCAAUGAGCUCAAAUUUCAGUUGCACAGGAGCUAAUUGUCUGCAAUUUUACACUUCAAAAAAAUGUCUUACUCAACCUACUGCUGAUGUGAUUGUUGCCCUACAGUGUUACACUCAUUCUAGUGAUGAUUUCAGACUUUAGCAAGUGGAAAGAUGGAUGCUUUUUCCCUUUAUGCUUGUUUAUCAUCUAUUGCUGUUAAUGUUGUGUUCAAAUGUAAACUAAUAAUACAAAUAUCUGAGUUAC
Phyllopteryx taeniolatus (common seadragon) is the source of this 4476-nucleotide RNA transcript. It is a transcript of the gene named RAS and EF-hand domain containing, with no coding region annotated. The transcript has 19 exons. The record is from RefSeq and is a predicted model, not a curated record. NCBI's taxonomy places the organism in Eukaryota, Metazoa, Chordata, Actinopteri, Syngnathiformes, Syngnathidae.